UUUUUUUUACAAAAAAUUGAAUUUGUAUUUUAAGUAAGAAUACUUAAAUAUAAAAAGGGGACGAUAAGACCCUGAAAGCUUUAUAUAACUUUUUAUUAAUUUAGUUUUUUUAUAACAGUAAAAACUUAUAAUUAGCUGGGGAAGUUUUAAUACGAAAACUAUAAUUUUGUUUUGCUUGGGUUUUAUGAUCCGUUAAAUAACGAUAAAUAGAGUGAGUUACUUCAGGGAUAACAGCAUAAUAAUUUUGUAGAGUUCUUAUCGAUAAAAUUGACUGUGACCUCGAUGUUGAAUUAAGAGUUCUAACUAAGGAAAAAUGUAGUAUAGAUGGUUUGUUCAACCUUUAAUUUCUUACAUGAUCUGAGUUCAAACCGG
This 372-nucleotide ribosomal RNA is filed under the name Crangonyx sp. Lake Piney Z. Its description in RNAcentral is "partial large subunit ribosomal RNA". The stretch from base 227 to 372 matches the Rfam family "Bacterial large subunit ribosomal RNA", at positions 2473 to 2619 of the family's 2925-position model. The record is from RNAcentral. Lineage: Eukaryota; Metazoa; Arthropoda; Malacostraca; Amphipoda; Crangonyctidae.